GCCGCGGUGGUGCAGUGGUUAGCAUUUCUGCCUAGUAAGCAAGAAGACAUGGGUUCAAGUCCCGACUGUGGCA
Molecule: non-coding RNA, 73 nt
Organism: Schistocerca serialis cubense
Lineage: Eukaryota; Metazoa; Arthropoda; Insecta; Orthoptera; Acrididae
Source: the annotation of a RefSeq genome assembly